This 469-nucleotide ribosomal RNA is filed under the name uncultured bacterium. RNAcentral's name for it is "partial 16S ribosomal RNA". It matches the Rfam family "Bacterial small subunit ribosomal RNA", at positions 28 to 507 of the family's 1533-position model. The record is from RNAcentral.
GACGAACGCUGGCGGCGUGCUUAACACAUGCAAGUCGAACGGAAAGGCCCUGCUUGCAGGGUACUCGAGUGGCGAACGGGUGAGUAACACGUGGGUGAUCUGCCCCUUACUUUGGGAUAAGCCUGGGAAACUGGGUCUAAUACUGGAUAGGACCAUGCUGUAGGUGGUGUGGUGGAAAGAUUAGUUUCGGUAAGGGAUGAGCUCGCGGCCUAUCAGCUUGUUGGUGGGGUAAUGGCCUACCAAGGCGUCGACGGGUAGCCGGCCUGAGAGGGUGGACGGCCACAUUGGGACUGAGAUACGGCCCAGACUCCUACGGGAGGCAGCAGUGGGGAAUAUUGCACAAUGGGCGCAAGCCUGAUGCAGCGACGCCGCGUGGGGGAUGACGGCCUUCGGGUUGUAAACUCCUUUCAGCCAUGACGAAGCCCUUGUGGUGACGGUAGUGGUAGAAGAAGCACCGGCUAACUACGUG